Molecule: RNA transcript, 3496 nt
Organism: Nicotiana tabacum (common tobacco)
Lineage: Eukaryota; Viridiplantae; Streptophyta; Magnoliopsida; Solanales; Solanaceae
Source: RefSeq, a predicted model, not a curated record
GGGGUUAGCACUAGAUUUACAAGAGCUGAGUUUCCAUUUACUUACCUUGUGUGUCUAAUAUUUUACCUGAGUAGGAGAAAUGAGUACUGCAAUGAUAUCAUCAAGAAUGUGAAAACCAAGCUUCAUUCAUGGAAAGGCAAGCUACUGUCCUAUGGAGGAACUACAAGAAAUCUGAUAUUUAGUGGCGACUGAUGUUAUCGCCACAAAUGAUAAGUGUUUAAUGGCGACAACUAUUAUCUCCGCUGAUAGCAUAAUAUUAGUGGUGACUAUGAAUGAGUCGCUACAAAAUAUAAUGUAUCUGGCUAUUCUGGCCGCAGGUGCGGUGAACGCCACAUAACACAAUGGCUUUUGUAGUGACUCUUGGUGUCGCCGCUAAAUGUACUAUAUUAAGUCGCCCCAAAGACGAAAAAAAGGAAAACAAAAACCCUAAAGUAACAAAUCUCCUCCUUAUAAAUUAGCUAACACUCCAGCGUCUUAACCCCAAAUCACCUUUCUCCUACAACAUGCUUCUCGCUGAAGAGGACCACACACCGUCGGUGGUGAACAUGCUCCUUCUUGUCUCAUUAUCUGGCGAAUCGAGUGCUGACUUCCUUCCUCAUUUCUUCCUCUCUCUAGAUUUUGUGCUCUCUGUUUUCACAAGGCGAAAAAACCUAAUCUCUUUUUCUCUAUUGUGAUGGUUUACGAAUUAUCAUCAUAUUCAGAAGAAGCUAUUAUACCUGACUGUGACUGGUGUGUUUGUGCAACGCAAGGCUCAUGGGCUUUUAUGCUUGAAUACUGCUCAGUGCUUGGUGCUUUGGAGUGCUAAGUUCUAGGUAGUUACUAAUCUAUCCUAAGUAUGUGCAAAGGAUAAUGAUGCACCUUCUUUUGGGCAGUACCAAGGAGCGGAACAAUGGGAGCUGCCAAUAUUAUCCUAACUUGCUUUUGGUCAGGCUUUUUCUCUCCCACCUUUGGCUGCAUCUAGGACAUGAAUGUUUGUUAGUUGAAUUCCAAAAUCAUAUUCUUUAGGGGGGAGGGAAUGGUGCUAGCCAAGGAGGAGCUCCAAAACAUUAUAUUUAUCUUUGUUCUUUUGUGCAUUUCAUGUAUAUGUAAAACUACAAUAUGUUAUGAAUUUGUUAAUAAAAAGCUCUGGUACAACUUCGUUUGAGAAAUGUCUUUAUCUGUGUCUCUUCUAACGUUAUGGAUUAUUCCAACACAUUUGAGAAAUAUUUGUAAAACUAUUACAGCAUCAUAAUUUUUUUUAACAAGAAAAACCUAUUUGUGGCGACUAAAGUUGUCACUAAUCAACAAGCUAUUGUGGCGACGGAGACUUGCUGCUGAAGGUUCCAUGGUUUUGUAGCGACUAAAGUUGCCAGUAAAAGCCAUUCUCCAGGGGUAUUUGCUUAUUGUGGCGAUGGAGACUUGCUGCUGAAUGUACGCUUGUUUUGUAACGACUAAAGCCGCCACUAAAAGCCAUUAUCAGGAGUAUUUGCUUACUUAUUGUGGCGAGUUUAGUCGCCACAAAUUGUUGCUUUUUGUGGAAACUACCAAAGGUCGUCACAAAUAACCUUCAGUAACGGGAAUACAUGCAGCGAGUCCAAGGUUGCUGCUAUAUGUUUAUAGUGGCGACUUUGGGGGCUUUUGUAGCGACAUUGGUUGCCACAAUAAGGUGUAUUUCUUGUAGUGAGGUAAAGCAACACUCAUAUCAAGUGUGCUCCAAAGCAUGCCUACACGCAUUCUGUUAGUGUUGGAUCCUCCCGAUAACAUAUUAGAGCAUCUACAUAAGACAUUUGCUAGGUUUUUUUGGAGUACAAAGGAAGAAGGCAGAAACAGGCACUAGACUAAAUGGCAAAACCUAUGUCUACCUAAAGAUGAGGGUGGACUAGGUUUUAGGUCAUUGUUUGAUGUAUCCAAAGCUUGUUUUCUAAGUUAUGGUGGAAGUUCAGGACAUCCAAAUCCUUAUGGUCCAAUUUCAUGUGGAAUAAAUAUUGCAAGAAGGAGAUACCUACAAUGGUUUAAUUUAGAGAGGGGUCACAUAUAUGGAGGAAAAUGUUGGAAGCAAGGGAGGAAGUGGAGCAUGAAGUACUUUGGGAGAUGAAUAGGGGCUCUACAAAUGUAUGGCAUGAGAAUUGGACUCAUCUUGGUGCUUUGUAUCAUGUACUACCUCCAGACAUUUACAUUAAUGAAGAUCUUCAAGAAGUAGCAGAAUUGAGGAAUGAGGAUGGCUAGAAUGAACAACUACUGGAGCAGUCUUUUUCCAGAUGAUAUUGCUGAUCAUAUAAGGCAUGAAGUGCACUUUCAAAAUGAUGAUGAAUUCUGGGACACACCUAGGCGGAUGCCUACCUCCUCAGGAUCAAGGGUUAUGCUUCAAUGGCAAUCAAGAGGUACUUUCACAAAAAGAGAAAAAAAGGUAUAUCACUACAGGAAAUAUGAGCUAUGACGACAUUUAAUUAGUGAUAUUUAUAAUAAAUGUAGGGAGAAAGUUCAUUUCGUGACAUUUGUUAACAAAAUGUGGCAAAAAUACUAACGUUUGAUGACAAAUGACAGAAAUACUGUGACAUUUGAUAGAAAUGUCACAUAAUUAAGAAUAAAAUGACAUUUAAUUAGUGAUAUGUACAGCAAAUGUCAAAAAAAGUUACUAGUUUCAAAAAAGAAAGAGAUUUUUUUUUCCAAAUCUCCCUCUCAAAUCUCUAAAAAACCCUACUCCGCAACCUCCCUCUCUUAGAACAAUUAAGUUCAUUUUCCCCCUCCCCAGUUUCUCUAUCCCGUCCGAAUCCUUACACCCCAACCAUGAAUCUCAAAAUCCUUCAGGAAUAGCAGUUUGAAAUGUAUUCUCUUCUUGCUUAAUUCCGUAUUUCCUUCUCUUUGUCUACUGUGCAUUGGAAUAACUCUAGGUUAGCAUUUUUCUUUAUCUCUUGAUUGGAUUCAAAUUCUUCCUUAUUUCUUGCGAGUGUUUUGAUUUCUCAGAGGAUUUCAAUCAUAUUUAUUGCAUUUGCCUGUGUCCUAUGUAUUUGCAGCAGAGGAAUUGAGAGUUUAGGGUUUUGAAGCUUAAUCUAUGUUCUGAUUUUAUUUUGUGGUUGUGAUUGUGUGGUGAUUUGGAGAUAUGUUUGUUUGAAUGGAAGUUGUGUGGGGUAUUAUUACACAAUAUGCUAAUGGCGGUAUUACAUUCACAGAUUUAUGCCCUACGGCUGUUUGACAAAAUGCCUGAUAGAGCAUCUUAAACACUAUGAUCUUUCCUAUUGUUUGUGGAGUUGCAGUGAGAAAGUCCAGAGUGUGGCAACUUAUGGUUGACUACCUCAGACAACCUUGUUGUCUCAAUUCAAUAGUGUCAAAUGGGUGGAAGCGCAAGGAAAUUGGAGCUGAAGGGAUGUAGCAGAAAAAGUGGAAGAAAGAGUUGAGGAAGUGAAAAAAUCUGUUGCAGAAUUUGCUUGUAUCCAUCCAGCCUAAUAGUUUCUUUCUACCAUUGUUUAAUUGUAAGGAUGUGCUGCUAUUCACAAAUACAUUCUUGUAAUUAGUUACA